UACGAAGGGGGCGAGCGUUGUUCGGAUUUACUGGGCGUAAAGGGCGCGCAGGCGGUUCUGUUUGUCGAGUGUGAAAGCCCGGGGCUCAACCCCGGGUCUGCCGUGCCGACUGUCAAACUCGAGGGCUGUAGAGGCAGACGGAAUUCCGGGUGUAGCGGUGGAAUGCGUAGAGAUCCGGAGGAAGACCGGUGGCGAAGGCGGUCUGCUGGGCAGUUUCUGACACUGAUGCGCGACAGCGUGGGGAGCAAACAGG
RNAcentral lists this ribosomal RNA (253 nucleotides) under uncultured bacterium. RNAcentral describes it as "partial 16S ribosomal RNA". It matches the Rfam family "Bacterial small subunit ribosomal RNA", at positions 524 to 776 of the family's 1533-position model. The record is from RNAcentral.